RNAcentral lists this long non-coding RNA (655 nucleotides) under Homo sapiens (human). RNAcentral's name for it is "HSALNT0362673". Lineage: Eukaryota; Metazoa; Chordata; Mammalia; Primates; Hominidae. The record is from RNAcentral.
GGGAAAUGACAUGGCUAAAUGGUUCUUUAGGAAGAAGAGUCAGGCGCCUCUGGAAGGGAUGGUUUGGCCUACAGAGAGAAAACAGAGAGAAUGGGCAAGGGGUCAUCGAUGGACCGGAGAUGGGAUGGUAGGGACAGAAACUGCAGGGUCCGCAGAAGGAACUGCUCACCGAAAGCCAACAAGCUUGCCCUGUGGAAUCCCAGAAAGGCCCAGGAACUUCGGGACAUCACUGAAGGCAGAGUGAAGAGAGGAAGAGAAGACAGAGAAAUGGAGGGGAGAAAACUAUUAAAAUAAGUAAUAAGAAAACUUUCCCCAGAAGUGCAGAAUCUGAAUUUCCAGUAUAAAAGGGUCCAUUGAGCGCCAAGAACAAUGAAGGAAAAAAGGUCCCACUCAGGCCUACGUAUCAUUGUGAAAUUUCAGAACUAGAGGGAUAAAGAAAAGAUCCUAAAAGCUUCCCGAGAGAUAAAAAAGAAGAUUUUUACAAAGGAUCAGCAAUCAGAAUUGCCUCAGACUGCUCAAUAAAAACAUCAGAAGCUAGAAGAAAAUAGAAUGAGGCAUCAAAAUCCUGAGGGAAAUGAUUCCCACCUAUAAUUUCAUAUUCUGCUCAAUUAUCAAUUGAGUAUUGAAGGGAAAUAAAGACAUUUUUAGACAUGCA